UGGUGCCACAAGUACUUCUAAUUAAUUUUCAUCUCUAGAUUUUUUUUGACCUACGGCACUCACUAUUUGCUCGUUUAAGCUCACAUUCACAACAUGCAAGUAAUAAAAAUGGUUAAUUAAAAGAUCCCGUGCAACCAAUUUAUUUCGUAAAUAAAUAAAAUAAAAAUCUUUAUUGAAAUAAUUUUCAAAAUCUUUCUGUACUAGCACAGAUAUGGA
RNAcentral lists this long non-coding RNA (216 nucleotides) under Elaeis guineensis (African oil palm). RNAcentral describes it as "long non-coding RNA (EGUI_LNC050402)". The record is from RNAcentral. Lineage: Eukaryota; Viridiplantae; Streptophyta; Magnoliopsida; Arecales; Arecaceae.